RNAcentral lists this ribosomal RNA (1482 nucleotides) under uncultured rumen bacterium. RNAcentral's name for it is "bacterial SSU rRNA". It matches the Rfam family "Bacterial small subunit ribosomal RNA". The record is from RNAcentral.
AGAGUUUGAUCCUGGCUCAGGAUGAACGCUGGCGGCGUGCCUAACACAUGCAAGUCGAGCGAGACUCCGGCAGAAGAGACUUCGGUUAAAUCAGUCGGACGAUAGCGGCGGACGGGUGAGUAACGCGUAGGCAAUCUGCCCCGUACAGAGGGAUAGCCGUUGGAAACGACGAGUAAGACCUCAUGAUGCAGCACUUUCACAUGGGAGAGCUGCCAAAGAUUUAUCGGUAUGGGAUGAGCCUGCGUCUGAUUAGCUGGUUGGUGAGGUAACGGCCCACCAAGGCGACGAUCAGUAGCCGACCUGAGAGGGUGAUCGGCCACAUUGGAACUGAGACACGGUCCAAACUCCUACGGGAGGCAGCAGUGGGGAAUAUUGCACAAUGGAGGGAACUCUGAUGCAGCAACGCCGCGUGAAGGAUGAAGGUUUUCGGAUCGUAAACUUCUGUCCAUGGGGACGAAGAAAGUGACGGUACCCGUGGAGGAAGCCCCGGCUAACUACGUGCCAGCAGCCGCGGUAAUACGUAGGGGGCGAGCGUUAUCCGGAAUUAUUGGGCGUAAAGAGUGCGUAGGUGGCCCACUAAGCGCAGGGUUUAAGGCAAUGGCUUAACUGUUGUUCGCCUUGCGAACUGGAGGGCUUGAGUUCAGGAGAGGAAAGUGGAAUUCCUAGUGUAGCGGUGGAAUGCGUAGAUAUUAGGAGGAACACCGGUGGCGAAGGCGACUUUCUGGACUGAUACUGACACUGAGGCACGAAAGCGUGGGGAGCAAACAGGAUUAGAUACCCUGGUAGUCCACGCCGUAAACGAUGAGCACUAGNNNUCGGGGCCGUAAAGGCUUCGGUGCCGCAGUUAACGCAAUAAGUGCUCCGCCUGGGGAGUAUGCACGCAAGUGUUAAACUCAAAGGAAUUGACGGGGACCCGCACAAGCAGCGGAGCAUGUGGUUUAAUUCGAAGCAACGCGAAGAACCUUACCAGGACUUGACAUCCCCCUGACAGGGCUUUAAAAGGCCCCUUCUUCGGACAGGGGAGACAGGUGGUGCAUGGUUGUCGUCAGCUCGUGUCGUGAGAUGUUGGGUUAAGUCCCGCAACGAGCGCAACCCUUGCCUUUAGUUGCCAUCAUCAAGUUGGGCACUCUAGAGGGACUGCCGGGGACAACUCGGAGGAAGGUGGGGAUGACGUCAAAUCAUCAUGCCCCUUAUGUUCUGGGCUACACACGUGCUACAAUGGCCGGUACAGCAGGAAGCGAAGCCGUGAGGCGGAGCGAACCCCAAAAGCCGGUCCCAGUUCGGACUGCAGGCUGCAACCCGCCUGCACGAAGUCGGAGUUGCUAGUAAUCGCGGAUCAGCACGCCGCGGUGAAUGCGUUCCCGGGUCUUGUACACACCGCCCGUCACACCAUGGAAGUUGGUGGUGCCCGAAGUCGGUCAACAAAUCUACUGCCUAAGGCAAAACCAAUGACUGGGGUGAAGUCGUAACAAGGUAACCGUA